RNAcentral lists this unclassified non-coding RNA (357 nucleotides) under Alteromonas macleodii. Its description in RNAcentral is "partial 16S-23S ribosomal RNA intergenic spacer". Lineage: Bacteria; Pseudomonadati; Pseudomonadota; Gammaproteobacteria; Alteromonadales; Alteromonadaceae. The record is from RNAcentral.
ACCAUUACGUCGAAAGAUGCCUUGAUGCAGUGCCUACACAGAUUGUUUUGUUCGUAAAUGAACAAACUUGGAUGCUUACGAUACUCUUGAGAGUACUGUGAAGUCCUCCUUGCGCAAAAGUCAUGACAAAAAGCGUCAUGAUUUUGCACGAUAGUUCUUUAACAAUUUGGAAAGCUGAUAUUAAUAGUAAUCAAUCAAAAUUGAGUAACUGAGAAAUCGAAAGAUGACUUUUUACUCUACUUGACUGAAUUGCUUGUUAUCAAUCGAUGAUUUGAUAGCAAGGCAAUUCUUCCGAUUAGCUUGUCAUUCAUGCAACGUAACUUGGACAGAAGUCAAAAGGCUGUUUGGGGUUGUAUG